Long non-coding RNA from Asparagus officinalis (garden asparagus), 1567 nucleotides. RefSeq lists it as uncharacterized. The record is from RefSeq and is a predicted model, not a curated record. The transcript has 2 exons. Lineage: Eukaryota; Viridiplantae; Streptophyta; Magnoliopsida; Asparagales; Asparagaceae.
CUCAUUCUUUCUCCCUCCUCUCCUCCUCGCGAGCUCUCACUGCGAUCGAGAUCUAAACCAUCGAGAUCAAAGAUUUAGGUGAUCGAGAGUAGAUCGAUCAAGAUUUCAAAGAAUCGACAGAAUUCUUCCGGUUCGUUCUAGGGUUACGGAUCUCCAUCUCAAUUUUUUUAUCAUUUCAGCUAAAUAUAAUUUGAGAAUUUAGUUGAAAAUUCAUAUGUUUGUUCUCUGCUUUUAAUUCUCGAGAUUAAUUGAUUAAUUUAGAUUCUUUCAAGGGUUCUAGUUGUUCAUCUCAAUUUUUGAUCAUUUCAGCUAAAUAUAAUUUGAGAAUUUAGUUGAAAAUUUAUAUCUAUGUUUUUCGUUUUCAAUUCUCGAGAUUAGUUGAUUAAUUUAGAUUUAAGGGUUGAUGAGGUUACUGCAGGGCUUUUUAAAAUGAUUUGUUUGAUGCAUUUACUUCCUUCAAGUGAGGAAAUUUCUGAAGAAGUUGUACUUGCUGCAUUCAGACUCUUCUGGGAGUCUGUUUUAGAUGAAGUUGAGAGCACUGAGGAAGAAGAUGAGGGGAAUGAAGAAGCAAUUGUUCUUGUUUUAUUUAAACUUUUUUGGGAGUCUAUCCCAGAUGAAGUUGAGUGUACAGAGGAAGUAGAUGGGAUUCCUGUAGAGGUUGAUCAAGUUGAAAGUGUUGAAGAGCCUGAAGAGGUUGCAUCUGUUUCAGAAGAACGUCUGCGUUGCAUUGACCGUCUUUAUAAGAUCACAUAAAUCAUUCACCGUGACUUUUAUUCCUUGGAAACUUUUUUGAAAAAUGUAGAUGCUUCUGAUGUAGAGGGUGUACUGGAUUUUGUAACUAUUCUGAUUGCUCAGAUUAAAAAGCCUGUCAGAAUAUCUAAGGAUAAGUAUGAUAAUAGUUGCUGAUGAUUUUGAUAUAUUGGUGAAAAAAAAUUUACCAGAAGCUGGCGACCGUGCUUUCUGCACCGUGUUAUGUGGACUUAAGAGAGAGUGAGAGAAGAUUAUGAGAAGCUUAAUGAGUUGAGACAACAAUCUAUAUUGAAGUUUCAAGAUUGGGGUCGGGGAGACAUCAAAUCGGUGGUGGCAUACUUGGUCUCAGCUAUGGACAGAUUGGAGGAGCAAAUUUGGACAUAAUUGGAUCUUCAUUUUUAAGGGAGAGUCAUGCUCACAUGUCCUCGAACAACAUUCUGGAGACUAUGAAGCUUGGGGAAGAGGUGGACCAUCAGGGAGCAAUAGAUGAAGAAGUGUAGGGUUCAUGAAAUUCACUGCAGAAACUCUCUGAAGAGUAAUUCACUGCAGAAACUCUUUGAAGAGUAUUGAUACUUACGUCUCCAUGGAAUUGCAUGCGUUAACAGUACUUACAAUUGGACGGAGCCUUAGACAGUUCCUUAGUUCUCAGGUUUGUUUGAAGGAGUUUACUUAGUUCAUUUCAUUGUAAUUGCUAAUCCGACAGUUUGUGUUCUGUUGAUAGCCUUUGUCUUUCUUUGUGAUCCAUAUACCAUAAAAAUAGUAGAAUAAAUUUGUUUGAUGCUCUCAACAAAACAUAUUUGAUGGCAUUUAUUGGCUU